UACGUAGGUGGCAAGCGUUGUCCGGAUUUACUGGGCGUAAAGAGCGCGCAGGCGGUCGUUCAAGUCGCGUGUGAAAGCCCCCCGGCUCAACUGGGGAGGGUCACGCGAUACUGAUCGACUCGAAGGCAGGAGAGGGUAGUGGAAUUCCCGGUGUAGUGGUGAAAUGCGUAGAUAUCGGGAGGAACACCAGUGGCGAAGGCGGUUCUCUGGGCAUGUCCUGACGCUGAGGAGCGAAAGUGUGGGGAGCGAACAGG
This 254-nucleotide ribosomal RNA is filed under the name uncultured bacterium. Its description in RNAcentral is "partial 16S ribosomal RNA". It matches the Rfam family "Bacterial small subunit ribosomal RNA", at positions 524 to 776 of the family's 1533-position model. The record is from RNAcentral.